This 484-nucleotide ribosomal RNA is filed under the name uncultured bacterium. RNAcentral's name for it is "partial 16S ribosomal RNA". It matches the Rfam family "Bacterial small subunit ribosomal RNA", at positions 30 to 507 of the family's 1533-position model. The record is from RNAcentral.
AUUGAACGCUGGCGGCAGGCCUAACACAUGCAAGUCGAGCGGAUGAAGGGAGCUUGCUCCUGGAUUCAGCGGAGGACGGGUGAGUAACGCCUAGGAAUCUGCCUGGUAGUGGGGGAUAACGUCCGGAAACGGGCGCUAAUACCGCAUACGUCCUGAGGGAGAAAGUGGGGGAUCUUCGGACCUCACGCUAUCAGCUGAGCCUAGGUCGGAUUAGCUAGUUGGUGGGGUAAAGGCCUACCAAGGCGACGAUCCGUAACUGGUCUGAGAGGAUGAUCAGUCACACUGGAACUGAGACACGGUCCAGACUCCUACGGGAGGCAGCAGUGGGGAAUAUUGGACAAUGGGCGAAAGCCUGAUCCAGCCAUGCCGCGUGUGUGAAGAAGGUCUUCGGAUUGUAAAGCACUUUAAGUUGGGAGGAAGGGCAGUAAGUUAAUACCGUGCUGUUUUGACGUUACCAACAGAAUAAGCACCGGCUAACUUCGUG